RNAcentral lists this long non-coding RNA (1249 nucleotides) under Brassica rapa (field mustard). Its description in RNAcentral is "long non-coding RNA (BRAP_LNC001802)". Lineage: Eukaryota; Viridiplantae; Streptophyta; Magnoliopsida; Brassicales; Brassicaceae. The record is from RNAcentral.
CCAAGGGUUAUGUUGCCUACUGGUCAAGUCGUGUUUACUAACUCAAAUUUGGCCAAAAAGAUUGAUUAUACUCAAAUAAUAAGCCAACAAAAAUCAUUAUCUUAAUCCGUGCCUUUUGUCUGGCGAGAAUCAAUUCGUUAACUUGUCAUAAUAUUCGAGCAACCUUAUAUAUACAAUUAUACAUACAUGUAUACCAUAUAUAUUCUUACAACUUUACGUGAUUUAUGAACUCUGAAAUGUGCAACGGCAUACAUACAUAAAAGUUUAUUAUUAUAGUAUGCAAAAUAUUAGACCAAGGGAUUCGGUUGAAAGGAGAUGUGGAUAAGAUAUUAAUUAGUUUUGGCAUAUAUUCUACCAGACAAAUUUACAUAAUUUCUCUCAUUUUCUUUUUUUUUUUUGACAAAGGGCUUAAUUUCUCUCAUUUUCCCCAACCGCUAUUUUUGUAAUCCGAGCAUCAUCUACACCAAUUCUUUAACGAAUCAUAGAUAAGAAUAUAUGAAUGAAUCUGGUUAGUUUUACAUGAUAUCCAAUUAUAUAAUGCAUUUCGAGCAAUUCAUGAUUAAAAAAAAAGGAUUUCUAGUUGCAGCCACUGAGAGAAUUAAAAAAAAAAAUGUCGAGCACAAUAGCGAACUAGCGGAGUCAUUAGUAAUAUAUUGACUAGAUCUGAAAUUCUAAAUGACAAAAAUACUUUAUUUUUCAUUAACCUUACAUAAUGUUAAGAAUAACGUUGGAGUCCGCAUGAUAUAUAAUUUGUAAAAAGGAAAGAAACCUUGAAAUCCUUCAUCCUACAAUACAUUCCACUAACUACAGUCAAGAUUAUUAGAAGAAAAAAAUUCUUACGUUUCAUACACACAAUCACCAUAGCUUGGAUCGGUAGACGGUAAUAAUGUACAUACUCGUAAGUCGUAUCAUUGAAAUAACAUGCUUCGUCGGUAUGUCCGUUACUUGGGAAAUACUCAUUCAUUACAAACGAUGCAUGAUUUCUAUGAAUAUAUUGGUUCAAAGCAGGGUCCACCAGGUUUGAUUGGGUUACAGUCUAACAUUUCUUUGGCUACACAGUCAAUCAAUAUUAGCUUGCAUUUGUUCAUCUGUCUCCGAUAAAGCUGUCACACACCACUGAUGCUCUGAGAGGUUUCUUAUUCUGGAACUUGCAAGAGGAAGAUACUCGGUUGCAACGAUCGAUAGAAUCAGGAAGAGGAGUGUUGAUGGCGGACACAUAAUUUCAGUGAUAUUCUUUGUUAGAAAAUUG